AAGGAAAGACUGGAAAGAGAAUCCCAGAAACAGAAGAAAAAACCUACUUUUUUUUUUUUUUUUUUUUUUUUAUUAUUUUUUUUUUU
RNAcentral lists this non-coding RNA (86 nucleotides) under Chloropicon mariensis. Lineage: Eukaryota; Viridiplantae; Chlorophyta; Chloropicophyceae; Chloropicales; Chloropicaceae. The record is from RNAcentral.